GCACGAGCUGCCGAGCUGCUGCUGCUUCUUUGAGUCAUGUUCAAACAAACUAUAAAAAUGAAUUAUUACCAAAACUCAAGCAGAGACUCAGCCCCCUCUUUUUAAGCUCAGGAAUUGGGGAGUCCCGUACGAGAACGUAAGUGGGGUUUUAUUUGUGCACAUUACACCACAAUUGGCCUCCUUAAUGUCCGUCUCAUUCAUGCCACGGGGUGAUUUAUGAGCUCCUGAAGGCAAACAUG
Molecule: long non-coding RNA, 239 nt
Filed under: Oryzias melastigma (Indian medaka)
Lineage: Eukaryota; Metazoa; Chordata; Actinopteri; Beloniformes; Adrianichthyidae
Description: HOX antisense intergenic RNA myeloid 1 conserved region 2 (ENSOMEG00000000480.1)
Rfam family: HOX antisense intergenic RNA myeloid 1 conserved region 2
Source: RNAcentral